GUACUGCUGAGGAGCCCCACAAUAGGACGAAACGGCCGUUCAGUGU
This 46-nucleotide non-coding RNA is filed under the name Schistosoma mansoni. The record is from RNAcentral. Lineage: Eukaryota; Metazoa; Platyhelminthes; Trematoda; Strigeidida; Schistosomatidae.